GCUGCUACUGUCGGUAAAUAAAAGACCGUUGGCUUUACGACGCAGCAUGCACCUUCACUGGAUCCUCCAUUAAGGUUCAACUGAACGAGCAAUGAGACCUCUGCUUUUAGUCGUUGCUGUAGCCUUGUGUGGCCUGCUGGUGUCAGGCGAUGAGCUACCAGCUACAGGUAAAUCAAGUGGAAACCCUAAAGAUUUUAUGGACAAACUUGAAAGGCAUGACACCGAAUUGCCCACUGAUUGGUUCG
Dermacentor silvarum is the source of this 245-nucleotide long non-coding RNA. RefSeq lists it as uncharacterized. The transcript is spliced from 3 exons. Lineage: Eukaryota; Metazoa; Arthropoda; Arachnida; Ixodida; Ixodidae. The record is from RefSeq and is a predicted model, not a curated record.